AACGCACAUUGCGCCCCCUGGUAUUCCGGGGGGCAUGCCUGUUCGAGCGUCAUUAAACGUAGAUCAAGCCCCGGCUUGGAGUUGGGUGUCCAACGUCCUGAAACAUCGGACGCGCCCUAAAGACCUCGGCGGCGGCGUGGAAGCCUCAAGCGUAGUAGAAUCUUUCAAUCCCGCUUACGGAGGCUCCGCCCGCCCGCUUCCAAAAAACAACAUCUCAAAGUUGACCUCGGAUCAGGUAGGGAUACCCGCUGAACUUAA
RNAcentral lists this unclassified non-coding RNA (258 nucleotides) under uncultured fungus. RNAcentral describes it as "partial contains 5.8S ribosomal RNA, internal transcribed spacer 2, and large subunit ribosomal RNA". The stretch from base 1 to 52 matches the Rfam family "5.8S ribosomal RNA", at positions 103 to 154 of the family's 154-position model. Lineage: Eukaryota; Fungi. The record is from RNAcentral.